AUUGAACGCUGGCGGCAUGCCUUACACAUGCAAGUCGAACGGUAACAGGUUAAGCUGACGAGUGGCGAACGGGUGAGUAAUACAUCGGAACGUGCCCAGUAGUGGGGGAUAGCCCGGCGAAAGCCGGAUUAAUACCGCAUACGACCUAAGGGUGAAAGGGGGGGAUCGCAAGACCUCUCGCUAUUGGAGGGGCCGGUGUCAGAUUGGGUAGUUGGUGGGGUAAAGGCCCAACAAGCCGACGAUCUGUAGCUGGUCUGCGAGGACGAUCAGCCACACUGGGACUGAGGCACGGCCCAGAGUCCUACGGGAGGCAGCAGUGGGGAAUUUUGGACAAUGGGAGCAAGCCUGAUCAGGCCAGGCCGCGUGCGGGAAGAAGGCCUUCGGUUUGUAAACCGCUUUUGUCAGGGAAGAAAUCCUUUGGGUUAAUACCUCGGGGGGAUGACGGUACCUGAAGAAUAAGCACCGGCUAACUACGUGCCAGCCGCCGCGGUAA
This 493-nucleotide ribosomal RNA is filed under the name uncultured bacterium. RNAcentral's name for it is "partial 16S ribosomal RNA". It matches the Rfam family "Bacterial small subunit ribosomal RNA", at positions 29 to 523 of the family's 1533-position model. The record is from RNAcentral.